Molecule: ribosomal RNA, 446 nt
Filed under: uncultured bacterium
Lineage: Bacteria
Description: partial 16S ribosomal RNA
Rfam family: Bacterial small subunit ribosomal RNA
Source: RNAcentral
CCUACGGGUGGCAGCAGUCGAGAAUCAUUCACAAUGGGGGAAACCCUGAUGGUGCGACGCCGCGUGGGGGAAUGAAGGUCUUCGGAUUGUAAACCCCUGUCAUGUGGGAGCAAAUUAAAAAGAUAGUACCACAAGAGGAAGAGACGGCUAACUCUGUGCCAGCAGCAGCGGGAAUACAGAGGUCUCAAGAGUUGUUCGGAAUCACUGGGCGUAAAGCGUGCGUAGGCUGUUUCGUAAGUCGUGUGUGAAAGGCGCGGGCUCAACCCGCGGACGGCACAUGAUACUGCGAGACUAGAGUAAUGGAGGGGGAACCGGAAGUCUCGGUGUAGCAGUGAAAUGCGUAGAUAUCGAGAGGAACACUCGGGGCGAAGGCGGGUUCCUGGACAUUAACUGACGCUGAGGCACGAAGGCCAGGGGAGCGAAAGGGAUUAGAUACCCUUGUAGUC